RNAcentral lists this ribosomal RNA (2858 nucleotides) under Faucicola osloensis. RNAcentral describes it as "Moraxella osloensis 23S ribosomal RNA". It matches the Rfam family "Bacterial large subunit ribosomal RNA". The record is from RNAcentral. Lineage: Bacteria; Pseudomonadati; Pseudomonadota; Gammaproteobacteria; Moraxellales; Moraxellaceae.
AGUCAAGUAAUGAAGUGCACAUGGUGGAUGCCUUGGCAGUCAGAGGCGAUGAAAGACGUGACAGCCUGCGAAAAGCGUCGGGGAGGCGGCAAUAUCCUGUGAUCCGGCGAUAUCUGAAUGGGGAAACCCACUUGUCAUAAGACAGGUAUCGUAAAUUUAUUUACGAGGCAAACCGGGAGAAGUGAAACAUCUCAGUAACCCGAGGAAAAGACAUCAAUAGAGAUUCCCCUAGUAGCGGCGAGCGAACGGGGAGGAGCCGACUGAUUAUAAUUUAGAGGAAUGACUUGGAAAGGUCAAUCGUAGAGGGUGAUAAUCCCGUACUCGAAAGGUUAUAAGAAGCAUAUUAAGUAGGGCGGAACACGAGAAAUUCUGUCUGAAGAUGGGGGGACCAUCCUCCAAGGCUAAAUACUCCUGACUGACCGAUAGUGAACCAGUACCGUGAGGGAAAGGCGAAAAGAACCCCUGUGAGGGGAGUGAAAUAGAACCUGAAACCGUGUGCAUACAAGCAGUCGGAGCGGACAUGUUCCGUGACGGCGUACCUUUUGUAUAAUGGGUCAGCGACUUAUAUUCUGUAGCAAGGUUAACCGAAUAGGGGAGCCGUAGGGAAACCGAGUCUUAAUAGGGCGUCUAGUUGCAGGGUAUAGACCCGAAACCGAGUGAUCUAUCCAUGAGCAGGUUGAAAGUGACGUAACAGUUACCGGAGGACCGAACCCACUGUCGUUGAAAAGCCAGGGGAUGACUUGUGGAUAGGGGUGAAAGGCUAAUCAAACUCGGUGAUAGCUGGUUCUCCCCGAAAGCUAUUUAGGUAGCGCCUCGGACGAACACCAUUGGGGGUAGAGCACUGUUUCGGCUAGGGGUCAUCCCGACUUACCAAACCGAUGCAAACUCCGAAUACCGAUGAGUGAUAUCCGGGAGACAGACGGCGGGUGCUAACGUCCGUCGUCAAGAGGGAAACAACCCAGACCGCCAGCUAAGGCCCCAAAUUCCUAGUUAAGUGGGAAACGAUGUGGGAAGGCACAGACAGCUAGGAGGUUGGCUUAGAAGCAGCCAUCCUUUAAAGAAAGCGUAAUAGCUCACUAGUCGAGUCGGCCUGCGCGGAAGAUGUAACGGGGCUCAAACUAGGAGCCGAAGCUGCGGAUUUAAUUGUUUCAAUUAAGUGGUAGGGGAGCAUUGUGUAAGCCUGUGAAGGUGUGUUGUAAAGCAUGCUGGAGGUAUCACAAGAGCGAAUGCUGACGUGAGUAACGACAAAACGGGUGAAAAGCCCGUUCGCCGGAAGACCAAGGGUUCCAGUCCAACGUUAAUCGGGGCUGGGUGAGUCGACCCCUAAGGCGAGGCCGAAAGGCGUAGUCGAUGGGAAAUCGGUUAAUAUUCCGAUACUUGUUUAUGAUGCGAUGGAGGGACGGAGAAGGUUAUGCCAGCUUGGCGAUGGUUGUCCAAGUGGAAGGAUGUAGUUAGGUUUAGUAGGCAAAUCCGCUAGACUAUUAAUGAGAUCUGAUAGCAAGCUGUACUUGUACAGCGAAGUGGCAAAUACCCUGCUUCCAGGAAAAGCUUCUAAGCGAUAGUCAUAAAGAAAUCGUACCCUAAACCGACACAGGUGGUCAGGUAGAGAAUACCAAGGCGCUUGAGAGAACUCUGCUGAAGGAACUAGGCAAAAUGGUACCGUAACUUCGGGAGAAGGUACGCUGCCGAUGGUGAGUAGUCACGCACUACAAAGCUAUUGGCAGUCGCAGAUACCAGGCCGCUGCAACUGUUUAUUAAAAACACAGCACUCUGCAAACACGAAAGUGGACGUAUAGGGUGUGAUGCCUGCCCGGUGCUGGAAGGUUAAUUGAUGGGGUUAGCGUAAGCGAAGCUCUUGAUCGAAGCCCCAGUAAACGGCGGCCGUAACUAUAACGGUCCUAAGGUAGCGAAAUUCCUUGUCGGGUAAGUUCCGACCUGCACGAAUGGCAUAAUGAUGGCGGCGCUGUCUCCAGCAGAGACUCAGUGAAAUCGAAAUCGCAGUGAAGAUGCUGUGUACCCGCGGCUAGACGGAAAGACCCCGUGAACCUUUACUACAGCUUUACAUUGAACUUUGACCUUACCUGUGUAGGAUAGGUGGGAGGCUUUGAAGCAGGCACGCCAGUGUCUGUGGAGCCAUCCUUGAAAUACCACCCUGGUAAUGUUGGGGUUCUAACUCAAGCUUAACAGAGCUGAGGACAAUGUAUGGUGGGUAGUUUGACUGGGGCGGUCUCCUCCUAAAGAGUAACGGAGGAGUACGAAGGUGCGCUCAGAACGGUCGGAAAUCGUUCGAAGAGUAUAAAGGCAAAAGCGCGCUUAACUGCGAGACCCACAAGUCGAGCAGAUACGAAAGUAGGUCUUAGUGAUCCGGUGGUUCUGUAUGGAAGGGCCAUCGCUCAACGGAUAAAAGGUACUCUGGGGAUAACAGGCUGAUACCGCCCAAGAGUUCAUAUCGACGGCGGUGUUUGGCACCUCGAUGUCGGCUCAUCUCAUCCUGGGGCUGAAGCAGGUCCCAAGGGUAUGGCUGUUCGCCAUUUAAAGAGGUACGCGAGCUGGGUUUAGAACGUCGUGAGACAGUUCGGUCCCUAUCUACCGUGGGCGUUGGAAAUUUGAGAGGAUCUGCUCCUAGUACGAGAGGACCAGAGUGGACGAACCUCUGGUGUUUCGGUUGUGACGCCAGUCGCAUUGCCGAGUAGCUAUGUUCGGAUGGGAUAACCGCUGAAAGCAUCUAAGCGGGAAGCCCACCUUAAGAUUAGAUUUCCCUAAAGAGCCGUUGUAGACUACGACGUUGAUAGGUUGGGUGUGGAAGCAUAGUGAUAUGUGUAGCUAACCAAUACUAAUUGCUCGUUUGGCUUGACUAU